GAGUUGAUUGGAGAUGGCGUUCCUCCUUUAACCAUCGCGCUAACGGCGCGGUUAAUGACGCCUACAGUUAC
Molecule: non-coding RNA, 71 nt
Filed under: Paraburkholderia caribensis
Lineage: Bacteria; Pseudomonadati; Pseudomonadota; Betaproteobacteria; Burkholderiales; Burkholderiaceae
Description: Fluoride
Rfam family: Fluoride riboswitch aptamer (crcB RNA motif)
Source: RNAcentral